UACAUUAACUUACUUAACAUCACCUUUAUAGUGUCCACCACUGUGGAUGCAACUUUGUACUUCAACAACAUCAGCCCUAAAUAUCCCAUUUCUCUUGAUAUCAAGUGCAUCUGUAACAUACAGAAUCAUAAUUAGAAAUUUGGGGUUCUACAAGGCAUUCAUAUAGUUUUCAGUUUAAGUUGUGGAACAUGCUCAACCUGUUUUGGACAGUUUUCAUGUGUGGUUGGGAGUUCAAAGAGCACGUGAAAUCGCGACAAAGAGACAAUCCAAUCAAAUUGAUUGAAUGAUAUGAUUUUACUAGUAAAGGAUGUGUGUAGUGGAUGGAGUUGCUCAGUGAAUUUGGAUUAGUGCUGAACUAACAAUCAUGUAGCGUUGAACAACCUCAUGGUUAAGAAAUAACUUUCAUCACUUGUGUAAAGUUUUCUAAUACAUAUACUCCCUAAAUAUCUGAAAUUCUAUUGAAGUUUGGAAAGAAAACUGACCUAUUCAGAACCUGCAAAUGUUGACUAUAAUUAGUGUUUUUAACUUACUUUUUGUUUAGAGUGUCCGACAUUGAUUGAGGAAAUGGGUUAUUGUAUCCUUAAGGUUUUGAGCAAUCGUUGCCUAUGAG
This 610-nucleotide long non-coding RNA is filed under the name Solanum tuberosum (potato). RNAcentral's name for it is "long non-coding RNA (STUB_LNC000761)". Lineage: Eukaryota; Viridiplantae; Streptophyta; Magnoliopsida; Solanales; Solanaceae. The record is from RNAcentral.